CCAGACUCCUACGGGAGGCAGCAGUGGGGAAUAUUGGACAAUGGGGGGAACCCUGAUCCAGCGACGCCGCGUGAGUGAAGAAGUAUUUCGGUAUGUAAAGCUCUAUCAGCGGGGAAGAAAAUGACGGUACCUGACUAAGAAGCCCCGGCUAACUACGUGCCAGCAGCCGCGGUAAUACGUAGGGGGCAAGCGUUAUCCGGAUUUACUGGGUGUAAAGGGAGCGUAGACGGCAUGGCAAGUCAGAUGUGAAAGCCCGGGGCUCAACCCCGGGACUGCAUUUGAAACUGUCAGGCUGGAGUGCAGGAGAGGUAAGUGGAAUUCCUAGUGUAGCGGUGAAAUGCAUAGAUAUUAGGAGGAACACCAGUGGCGAAGGCGGCUUACUGGACUGUAACUGACGUUGAGGCUCGAAAGCGUGGGGAGCAAACAGGAUUAGAUACCCCAGUAUGC
This 447-nucleotide ribosomal RNA is filed under the name uncultured bacterium. RNAcentral describes it as "bacterial SSU rRNA". It matches the Rfam family "Bacterial small subunit ribosomal RNA", at positions 331 to 794 of the family's 1533-position model. The record is from RNAcentral.